GACCCCAGAGACACCGCCUGCUUCCUGGGCAUCACCACGUGUCACCUGCAGACCAAGAAAGCUGCAGCAACGUCAUCUGCCGAGUUCCUUGAGGGGAAGCCUACCUGGGAGGACUUCAAUGCAGGAGGAGUGAAGAGCCGGGGCCUUCAAGUACGUGAAAUGUUGGCCCUAAACCUCCUCCAAGUCAAGGGCCUUUCACUCGACAAGGCGAUGCCUCUGGUGGAAAGGUACCCAACGCCUAUAAGGUUGUUUGAAGCAUUCGAGAGAGCUGCCUCCGAUCCUCGUGGUAGAUCAGCUUUCCUGAAGGACUGUGGGAUCCCUGGCAAAGCCUUGCACGACAAGUUGUGGACUCUCUAUGGAAGUUCUGAACCGUUGCAGUGAAAGAUGGAAUCGGGGGAAUCACAAUUAAUCACUGAAAAAAAAAAGAAAUUUAUUAAAGAGAAGAUUACAUAUUUAUAUAUCACAAGAGUAGCAUCGUCUCCUCACUGUCGCUCCUUCCAUCAUCAGAAGAAACACAUCAACUUCAAACUGACGACAGAGCGGAAUUCUCAUUUCGAUUCUGGCCUCUGCAUUUUGUUGCUGUUUGCAGGAGAAAUGUCCGAAAUAAAUGUUUUUUGUUCGUUGAAG
This is a long non-coding RNA of Rhipicephalus sanguineus (brown dog tick), 627 nucleotides long. RefSeq lists it as uncharacterized. The record is from RefSeq and is a predicted model, not a curated record. The transcript has 4 exons. Lineage: Eukaryota; Metazoa; Arthropoda; Arachnida; Ixodida; Ixodidae.